This 73-nucleotide transfer RNA is filed under the name Pseudarthrobacter sp. BIM B-2242. It matches the Rfam family "tRNA". From Rfam's summary of the family: Transfer RNA (tRNA) molecules are approximately 80 nucleotides in length. Lineage: Bacteria; Bacillati; Actinomycetota; Actinomycetes; Micrococcales; Micrococcaceae. The record is from Rfam by way of RNAcentral.
GCCCUCUUAGCUCAGUUGGUAGAGCGUUUGUUUCGUAAUCAGAAGGUCGCCAGUUCGAUCCUGGCAGAGGGCU